Lotus japonicus is the source of this 1348-nucleotide long non-coding RNA. RefSeq lists it as uncharacterized. The record is from RefSeq and is a predicted model, not a curated record. Lineage: Eukaryota; Viridiplantae; Streptophyta; Magnoliopsida; Fabales; Fabaceae. The transcript is spliced from 3 exons.
ACUACAAAUCUCCUUAAAAAAAAAUGAAAAUCGUAUUCCUCACUCUCUCUCUCUCGCUCUGUUCCUGUUCUUCUCAUUACAGUUGAAAACCCUAACACCUGCAAUCUCCUCCCCAUACCCUUCCUCUUCUUUGUCUGGAGCAACCAAAGCGUUUACCUUCCUGUAACCCGCUUCCAAAUUUCACCUUUCCUCAGUUGUUCGUUAACGCGUUGAGGAGGUUGCCAUCAAGAUGAUGCGUCGUGCCGUGUCGUAGCUGAGAGGUAUGUCUAGGGUGAAGAAGUUCUUUGCUGCAAAGGAAAGGCACAAUACUGACAACGUUGUGGUGAAGCCAUUGGACCCAGUGGCUUACCUUGUUCGCUCAUCGCAACGGUGUUGUCGCACUGAAGAGAAACUUCGCAAAGAAGGCGCAAAUUGGCUUAAAGUGUGUGGUGGAAAACAUGGAGAGAAAGGUAUUGCAUGGAACAAGAGGAAGAUUAAGUAAGCAAUUAAACGAGAAUGGAGUUUCCUGUGAUUGGUGUAAAACCUUGGCUCUUGGAAUGACUAGUUGGCAACUUGAAUAUUUUGCUGCCCCAAAACGUUUGGACAUAGGAAAAGAAACAAGUCAGCCUUAGAUGAUACAAAAUAAAGAUGCAAAUGGCUUGAUCUGGAAUUGGUCGUUCAAAGAUUUGCUAGCCACUAGCUCAUUCGAGACUCUUGGAGAUGUUGGGGCCAAUCAUUCUAACUUCUCAUAGUUAUUUUCAGGCAACUGAGUAGCAGACUGUUGUCAUAUUCAGAUCGUUCAGUUUUCUUAUUGGCGAUGGAGAAUCUUCGAUGAAGCUUGACCUUCGUACGAGUCGGAGAGGAGAACUUGAAGAACUGUGGAAGACUUGAAGAAUAGAGUCGGGUGUAGAGUUAGAAAGCUAACCAUUAUUGGUUUAAGCUUGCAUAACGAUUUUAGAGAUUUAUAUUUGGGGUUUCGGGUACUCGCCUUGUUCAAGGCUUGAUGUAAAUCCCUUUGUAGUUGGGAGUAUGCAUGACAUGUUUUGGAAAUACAUUUGAAAAGAAAAAAUAUACUCGUGUUUAUACAUUCUUUUGGAAAAUAUUGCAUAUUUACUUUAAUAGGUUACUAAAGUGACACCCGAAAUUCGGGGCGUUACAGCCGCUGCCACAUCUUCUUCUCAACUAUAGCCGCCACUACAUGCAUCCUCUUAUUUCCUCUCUUCCUCCUUGGUUAUGUGACAAUUUCAACCAUUCAAAACCGAAGUUCUGGCCCAAAUCCGACUGCACCCGUCCGUCGGACACCCCUAGCAUUUUGUUCCUCAACUUCUCGGUCCAUCUGAAUUCUCCGGGCUUCAUGCUCAGUUUGUAG